GAUGAAGAACGCAGCGAAAUGCGAUAAGUAAUGUGAAUUGCAGAAUUCAGUGAAUCUUCGAAUCUUUGAACGCACAUUGCGCCCGCCAGCAUUCUGGCGGGCAUGCCUGUUCGAGCGUCAUUUCAACCCUCGAGCCCCCCCGGGGGCCUCGGUGUUGGGGGACGGCACACCAGCCGCCCCCGAAAUGCAGUGGCGACCCCGCCGCAGCCUCCCCUGCGUAGUAGCACACACCUCGCACCGGAGCGCGGAGGCGGUCACGCCGUAAAACGCCCAACUUUCUUAGAGUUGACCUCGGAUCAGGUAGGAAUACCCGCUGAACUUAAGCAUAUCAAUAAGCGGAGGA
Molecule: unclassified non-coding RNA, 343 nt
Filed under: soil metagenome
Description: partial contains 5.8S ribosomal RNA, internal transcribed spacer 2, and large subunit ribosomal RNA
Rfam family: 5.8S ribosomal RNA (bases 1-120)
Source: RNAcentral